Diprion similis is the source of this 795-nucleotide long non-coding RNA. RefSeq lists it as uncharacterized. The record is from RefSeq and is a predicted model, not a curated record. The transcript is spliced from 4 exons. NCBI's taxonomy places the organism in Eukaryota, Metazoa, Arthropoda, Insecta, Hymenoptera, Diprionidae.
GAGAAAAACACUUUCAUCCUAAACUUCCGGAGCGGAGUGUCGACAGUUUCAAGGAGAGGAUCGGUGCUCCCCGUCCUGCGAUUCUGGGCUUCUUCUCAUCGUAGAAUCGAGACUCUGGAUGCAAAGCUGCGAUGAAUAGAUUCCGAUACUGAAAAAUCUCACCGUGGAGGACGAGGAUGGAAACUUACAGGAGACUCGAAGGAUUUUUUGAUCCUCUCGAACACCGCCUGGAAACCUGGGAUUCUCUGCUCGACAGGUAAGCUCUUUUGCAUCAUCCUCACGACCGACAACCAGGGCCAACUUGCUUACGGUUGAAUUGCUUCGUUGUGUAGAGACGAUUGAAGGAUCUCGGAUUACGUUUCCAUCCAGCGUCCAUAUUAUCCUUGCGGCCGGUGAACUUCCCCAAGUUUCGCACCUCGCUCCCACCGGACGUCCUGCGUAGAUCACUUCAGUAUCCAGAACGAUCUUCACCACUGCAGGCUUUACUGGAAUGGAAUUCAAACGGAUUUACAUUAUUAAUUUCAUCAAAAGAUUCAUAACCAGUGAUCCUGAAAACCGACGAACACUAUCUUAUAAAAGUCGACUCAGCACAAUAACGUGUGACUCAAAGGGUUGAGGAGCUCGAGGAGUGGAAAAUAGUUAUCAAUGGAAUACCUCCGGUCACUUCUGGCGUGGCGCUAAAGACUCGGCUGAAAUACUUGGGGAAAGUGAGAGAAUUUUAGAUUCCAAAAGGCAGAGGAAACCUAAGAAAAAGAAGUCUGAAGUGGAAAAUGAAGAAGAUCAAAAAUCAGGGGU